Molecule: long non-coding RNA, 450 nt
Organism: Quercus robur (English oak)
Lineage: Eukaryota; Viridiplantae; Streptophyta; Magnoliopsida; Fagales; Fagaceae
Exons: 2
Source: RefSeq, a predicted model, not a curated record
UUGAUUCCAGAUCACUUUCUCCAGCUCUCUCUCUCUCUCUACUUUUUCAUUCUAGAACAUUCUCUAGCUCUCUAUGUGAUAAGAAACAGAGAAAGAACAAGCAAGAGAUAUCUUGCUUGCUCCAUCAUUAAUCAAAGGACACAGUGAUCAUGGUCCGCUUUUUGUCGUCAUUCACGAGGUGGAUUCACGUAAAGCUCAUUUACAGACACAAUGGAGAAGGAGAAGUGAGAAGUGAGAACAUACCAUUUUUGUUUCCUUCGUACAAUGUGAAAACUGAAAUAACAUUGUUGAAUAUGUUAGCGAAUAAACCAACUAGGCCAUGUCCAAGACUCAACUUCAAGUCCCAAUAGCAGAAAAACCUUCCUGGAUUUUUUGACCCUCAGAGCCGUGGUAUAUAGGGCAUCUGCCUUCAAACAUUAUACAUAAUUGAUUGGUUUUUGCUUUAACUCA